This 433-nucleotide ribosomal RNA is filed under the name uncultured bacterium. RNAcentral describes it as "partial 16S ribosomal RNA". It matches the Rfam family "Bacterial small subunit ribosomal RNA", at positions 29 to 507 of the family's 1533-position model. The record is from RNAcentral.
AACGAACGCUGGCGGCAUGCCUAACACAUGCAAGUCGAACGAAGGCUUCGGCCUUAGUGGCGCACGGGUGCGUAACGCGUGGGAAUCUGCCCUUUGCUUCGGAAUAACAGUUAGAAAUGACUGCUAAUACCGGAUGAUGUAGCAAGACCAAAGAUUGAUCGGCAAAGGAUGAGCCCGCGUAGGAUUAGCUAGUUGGUGGGGUAAAGGCCUACCAAGGCGACGAUCCUUAGCUGGUCUGAGAGGAUGAUCAGCCACACUGGGACUGAGACACGGCCCAGACUCCUACGGGAGGCAGCAGUGGGGAAUAUUGGACAAUGGGCGAAAGCCUGAGCCAGCAAUGCCGCGUGAGUGAUGAAGGCCUUAGGGUUGUAAAGCUCUUUUACCCGGGAUGAUAAUGACAUUACCGGGAGAAUAAGCUCCGGCUAACUCCGUG